This 473-nucleotide ribosomal RNA is filed under the name uncultured bacterium. Its description in RNAcentral is "partial 16S ribosomal RNA". It matches the Rfam family "Bacterial small subunit ribosomal RNA", at positions 355 to 821 of the family's 1533-position model. The record is from RNAcentral.
UAGGGAAUCUUCCACAAUGGACGCAAGUCUGAUGGAGCAACGCCGCGUGAGUGAAGAAGGUUUUCGGAUCGUAAAGCUCUGUUGUUGGUGAAGAAGGAUAGAGGCAGUAACUGGCCUUUAUUUGACGGUAAUCAACCAGAAAGUCACGGCUAACUACGUGCCAGCAGCCGCGGUAAUACGUAGGUGGCAAGCGUUGUCCGGAUUUAUUGGGCGUAAAGCGAGCGCAGGCGGAAGAAUAAGUCUGAUGUGAAAGCCCUCGGCUUAACCGAGGAACUGCAUCGGAAACUGUUUUUCUGAGUGCAGAAGAGGAGAGUGGAACUCCAUGUGUAGCGGUGGAAUGCGUAGAUAUAUGGAAGAAUACCAGUGGCGAAGGCGGCUCUCUGGUCUGCAACUGACGCUGAGGCUCGAAAGCAUGGUAGCGAACAGGAUUAGAUACCCUGGUAGUCCAUGCCGUAAAACGAUGAGUGCUAAGU